This 402-nucleotide ribosomal RNA is filed under the name uncultured Pseudomonas sp. RNAcentral's name for it is "bacterial SSU rRNA". It matches the Rfam family "Bacterial small subunit ribosomal RNA", at positions 983 to 1382 of the family's 1533-position model. The record is from RNAcentral. Lineage: Bacteria; Pseudomonadati; Pseudomonadota; Gammaproteobacteria; Pseudomonadales; Pseudomonadaceae.
GACAUGCAGAGAACUUUCCAGAGAUGGAUUUCGGUGCCUUCGGGAACUCUGACACAGGUGCUGCAUGGCUGUCGUCAGCUCGUGUCGUGAGAUGUUGGGUUAAGUCCCGUAACGAGCGCAACCCUGUCCUUAGUUACCAGCACGUUAUGGUGGGCACUCUAAGGAGACUGCCGGUGACAAACCGGAGGAAGGUGGGGAUGACGUCAAGUCAGUCAUGGCCCUUACGGCCUGGGCUACACACGUGCUACAAUGGUCGGUACAAAGGGUUGCCAAGCCGCGAGGUGGAGCUAAUCCCAUAAAACCGAUCGUAGUCCGGAUCGCAGUCUGCAACUCGACUGCGUGAAGCUGGAAUCGCUAGUAAUCGCGCAUCAGCAUGGCGCGGUGAAUACGUUCCCGGGCCUU